Molecule: ribosomal RNA, 200 nt
Filed under: uncultured prokaryote
Description: partial 16S ribosomal RNA
Rfam family: Bacterial small subunit ribosomal RNA
Source: RNAcentral
GUCAAAUCAUCAUGCCCUUUAUGACCUGGGCCACACACGUACUACAAUGGCCGCGAACAGAGAGAAGCGAAACGGCGACGUGGAGCAAAACUCACAAAAGCGGUCCCAGUUCGGAUUGCAGGCUGCAACCCGCCUGCAUGAAGCCGGAAUUGCUAGUAAUCGCGGAUCAGCAUGCCGCGGUGAAUACGUUCCCGGGCCUU